AGGCUCUCCUCGACUGGAUACCAAUAGCCAGUCGCUUGUGCGCUAUCCGUCUAAAUGGAACGCUAAGGACUCGUAAAGAUAGGUACACACGCCG
This 94-nucleotide non-coding RNA is filed under the name Schistosoma japonicum. The record is from RNAcentral. Lineage: Eukaryota; Metazoa; Platyhelminthes; Trematoda; Strigeidida; Schistosomatidae.